RNAcentral lists this ribosomal RNA (305 nucleotides) under uncultured bacterium. Its description in RNAcentral is "bacterial SSU rRNA". It matches the Rfam family "Bacterial small subunit ribosomal RNA", at positions 335 to 637 of the family's 1533-position model. The record is from RNAcentral.
UGGCCUACGGGGCGCAGCAGUGAGGAAUAUUGGUCAAUGGGCGCGAGCCUGAACCAGCCAAGUCGCGUGAGGGAGGACGGCCCUACGGGUUGUAAACCUCUUUUGCCGGGGAGCAACGGGCGUCACGUGUGGCGCCACUGAGAGUACCCGGAGAAAAAGCAUCGGCUAACUCCGUGCCAGCAGCGGCGGUAAUACGGAGGAUGCGAGCGUUAUCCGGAUUUAUUGGGUUUAAAGGGUGCAUAGGCGGAUCGUUAAGUCAGUGGUCAAAUUGAGGGGCUCAACCCCUUCCCGCCAUUGUAAAUGGG